Lactuca sativa (garden lettuce) is the source of this 1877-nucleotide long non-coding RNA. RefSeq lists it as uncharacterized. The record is from RefSeq and is a predicted model, not a curated record. NCBI's taxonomy places the organism in Eukaryota, Viridiplantae, Streptophyta, Magnoliopsida, Asterales, Asteraceae.
AAUGCAAUACAGGAGGUUAUUUCAAGUGUAUCUUCCACCUUUUGUUUCUUGUUUUUCAUGCGAACUUCUGAUUGAAAAAAAGCUACCAGAAUUAUCGAUUUUGUCUGUGAACAUCACCAAAAUGAUCUUUCGGGAUUGCUUCUGCUUUCUUCUUUAGGGUUUAUCUAUGUCGACUUUGCCAAUGUUAACAGAGAUAACACAUCAAUUUUAUAAUCGGGUCUUCUCUACUAACUGAAAACAACAUUUAUCAAUUCAAGUCAGCCCACCUUAUUCUGCAAAUUUCAAUCGAUUAUUCAUGUGUGGAGAAGGAAAAAGGGGCGGUGACCAAAGUGCAACAACGAAUUCAAGAAAUUGACCAGCUCUUAGCUCUCCGAUCACAGCAGACGCCUUCAUCAUAAUUUCUUCUCCUCCCACAUCUUCUUCUCUCUAGCCACCGCCUCCAUCCCUCCAAACUCCACCGCUAGCACUCCAAACACCGUUGCCAUCAUUGUCGACUCAGCUUCCGAUGUCCAAUCUCCACCACCGCCAUCUCUCCGAUUAGGAGAUUGAUUAUACAAAGGAGGCAGCAGCAAAUGCCGAGUUGUUUGGAAGUGAUUUCAAAGAUCUUGAUUAUGUAAAAGUCCCAAGCAUAUAUUAGGAAUACACCACUCCAUUUGAUAAUAUUUAAGUAAAAAUAUGAACUAAUCUUGGAUUUUAUGAUGUUAUCAAAGUUUUUUCUUAUCCCUUUUGGCUCAAUAGUUUGAUUAGAAAUACUGAGAAUCUUACAAAUGUCUAAAAUCGGAGUCUAAAUUGACAGCAAACAAACUAACCACAUCUAUUUGAAUAUCAAAAUUGAACACUUACUAUUGUCAACUUUCAAAAUCUGAAGUUCAUCUCCACUCAUAAAUAACUUAAUUCUACCAUUUGGGGUUGACAAAUAUAUGUUUUAGUUGCGAACAAUUAGAUGAUUUGAGUAAAUAUAUAUCUUCUUUUGCAUUAUAUUGGUUUGAAACAAACUUAAAAGGUCAAGAAAAUUUAUGUAAAAGUUGGUUACCAAAGCAUGGAGUCAGAAUCAAAGUUGGUGUGUGUUUUGUUCAUGGAUAUGGCAACACUUGCACCUUUUUGUUUGAAGGUAUGUGGUUACACCUCAUCAUCGAUGUCUUAUAUAAUCAUGAAAUUUGAUUCUUUAUCCCUAAAUUUAGUGAUAUAGUUGACAAUGUAAUCGAACAAUAUGCAAAAAUUAAAGGUACACCUAUUGUCUAAAUUUGUAUGUUUGACUUUUUUUGUCAAACAAAGUAUUUUUUGAUAAAAAAAAAAAAGAAUAAUUUUUUCCUAAUUUUGGUAUUUUCUUUCACCAUUUCAGGGGAGAUAAGUUAUUUAGUCACAAUUUUAUGAUUUUAGGAUAUUGUUUCACAAUCUCAAAAGAAACAAUUUAAAGUAAUAGUUUAUAAAUGAUGCGCGUGUAUUUUUAAAUUGUGGUUGUUUUGUGUAUGACUUUGCAUUCUUGGAUUAGUUUUCUUAAGUUUCUUAUAUUAAAUGCUUAGCAAUAGUAUUUUUCUAAAAUUAUAGUGUUCAUUCUUCUUUUUUUAUUUAAAAUGACCAUUUUGACCAUUUUGGUCAAGUUUGUUAUUCUUACCAAAAAAAAGUUGUUUCAUAAUUUGGCAUGCUUAAGUUGACAAAAAAUACUGAUAUGAAACUUUUAAAACAGAAAGUUUAAUUUUUCUUAGGUUUUUUUUGUAAAAAUGACCAUUUUACCCUUUUUGUCCAAUUUGGUCAUUUUUAUUGGUUUUUUUUUUGUUUUUCACAAUGUGAUUCAUUUAAACAGAUAACAAAAACAAUACAUUGGUAUGUUAAUUUUGUUAUAAAAAUUCUAUUUAUAACCAUUCCAGUUAUUUUAA